This 484-nucleotide ribosomal RNA is filed under the name uncultured bacterium. Its description in RNAcentral is "partial 16S ribosomal RNA". It matches the Rfam family "Bacterial small subunit ribosomal RNA", at positions 899 to 1397 of the family's 1533-position model. The record is from RNAcentral.
ACUCAAAUGAAUUGACGGGGGAGCGCACAACCGGUGGAGCAUGUUGUUUAAUUCGAUACGAAGCGAAAAACCUUACCAAGAUUUGACAUGUAACUGCACGGUCAUGGAAACAUGGCCUUCUUCGAGAGUGUUACACAGGUGAUGCAUGGCUGUCGUCAGCUCGUGUCGUGAGACGUCCGCUUAAGUGCGGUAACGAGCGCAACCCUUAUCCCGCGUUAUAUUUUCACGGGAGACUGCCCCUGUUCUACAGGGGAGGAAGGAGAGGACGACGUCAAGUCAGCACGUCCCUUACAUCUUGGGCCACAAACAUCCUACAAUGGAGCCGACAACAGGUCGCGACGGGGUAACCCUGAGCCAAUCCUGCAAACGGCCCCUCAGUUCAGAUUGAGGGCUGCAAUUCGCCCUCAUGAAGUCGGAAUCGGUAGUAAUCGCAAAUCAGCAGGUUGCGGUGAAUACGUUCUCGCUCCUUGUACACACCGCCCGU